GGCUCUAUGUACUUCAUAAUCAUCCCAGAAAUCUGCUCGUAAAUAUUUUCCGGCUGUCCCUUCACAGGAACUCGAGUUAUCCCGGGAAGAUCGACCAUGAUUUGCAGUGAAACACAUUUAACAGUUAAGAGGGAGAUAGAGAGA
Long non-coding RNA from Capsella rubella, 144 nucleotides. RefSeq lists it as uncharacterized. NCBI's taxonomy places the organism in Eukaryota, Viridiplantae, Streptophyta, Magnoliopsida, Brassicales, Brassicaceae. The transcript has 2 exons. The record is from RefSeq and is a predicted model, not a curated record.